CCAGCAAGCAAAGUUAUGCCACCUUUUUCUACCCACUUUGUUCCAGCCCCGCUGGCAGCUGAUUGGAUGGUGCCCUCCCACACUGAGGCACAUUGAGGUGGACAUCCUAGUCCACCGACUCAAAUGUCAAUCUCCUCUGGCAACACCCUCACAGACACACCCAGAAACCAUACCAGCAACCAAGGGAGCCUUCCAACCACUCAAGUUGAUGCCUAUUAUUAACCGUCACAAGAGGUUCCACGAGUGGCAAAGCUGGCUUGAAGGGUUUGGUGAAGCUACUGCCUUUUUCCCUGAGCCGAGAUCCUGGAAUUCCCUGGGUUGAGGAGAAGGU
Molecule: long non-coding RNA, 331 nt
Filed under: Callithrix jacchus (white-tufted-ear marmoset)
Lineage: Eukaryota; Metazoa; Chordata; Mammalia; Primates; Cebidae
Description: lncRNA (ENSCJAG00000072198.1)
Source: RNAcentral